Molecule: ribosomal RNA, 497 nt
Filed under: uncultured bacterium
Lineage: Bacteria
Description: partial 16S ribosomal RNA
Rfam family: Bacterial small subunit ribosomal RNA
Source: RNAcentral
GACGAACGCUGGCGGCGUGCCUAAUACAUGCAAGUUGAGCGCUGAAGGUUGGUACUUGUACCGACUGGAUGAGCAGCGAACGGUUGAGUAACGCGUGGGGAAUCUGCCUUUGAGCGGGGGACAACAUUUGGAAACGAAUGCUAAUACCGCAUAAAAACUUUAAACACAAGUUUUAAGUUUGAAAGAUGCAAUUGCAUCACUCAAAGAUGAUCCCGCGUUGUAUUAGCUAGUUGGUGAGGUAAAGGCUCACCAAGGCGAUGAUACAUAGCCGACCUGAGAGGGUGAUCGGCCACAUUGGGACUGAGACACGGCCCAAACUCCUACGGGAGGCAGCAGUAGGGAAUCUUCGGCAAUGGACGAAAGUCUGACCGAGCAACGCCGCGUGAGUGAAGAAGGUUUUCGGAUCGUAAAACUCUGUUGGUAGAGAAGAACGUUGGUGAGAGUGGAAAGCUCAUCAAGUGACGGUAACUACCCAGAAAGGGACGGCUAACUACGUG